Molecule: transfer RNA, 100 nt
Organism: Pochonia chlamydosporia 170
Lineage: Eukaryota; Fungi; Ascomycota; Sordariomycetes; Hypocreales; Clavicipitaceae
Rfam family: tRNA
About the family: Transfer RNA (tRNA) molecules are approximately 80 nucleotides in length. Their secondary structure includes four short double-helical elements and three loops (D, anti-codon, and T loops).
Source: Rfam
GGCCGUGUAGCUCAAUGGCAGAGCGUCUGACUACGACUGAUGCCCUGUGGCGUUACGAUCUGUAAUCAGAAGGUCGCAGGUUCGACCCCUGUCUCGGUCA